UCAGGCCUAACACAUGCAAGUCGAGCGAUGAAGCACCUUCGGGUGUGGAUUAGCGGCGAACGGGUGAGGAACACGUGAGGAAUCUGCCUUCCACUCUGGGAUAACUCCGGGAAACCGGGGCUAAUACCGGAUACUUUCAACUGGCGGCAUCGCCGGUUGAAGAAAGUUUUUCGGUGGAAGAUGACCUCGCGGCCUAUCAGCUUGUUGGUGAGGUAAUGGCUCACCAAGGCGACGACGGGUAGCCGGCCUGAGAGGGCGACCGGCCACACUGGGACUGAGACACGGCCCAGACUCCUACGGGAGGCAGCAGUGGGGAAUAUUGGGCAAUGGAGGAAACUCUGACCCAGCGACGCCGCGUGAGGGAUGAAGGCCUUCGGGUUGUAAACCUCUUCAGCAGGGAAUAAGCGAAAGGAA
RNAcentral lists this ribosomal RNA (414 nucleotides) under uncultured bacterium. RNAcentral describes it as "bacterial SSU rRNA". It matches the Rfam family "Bacterial small subunit ribosomal RNA", at positions 42 to 458 of the family's 1533-position model. The record is from RNAcentral.